Molecule: long non-coding RNA, 321 nt
Filed under: Daucus carota (carrot)
Lineage: Eukaryota; Viridiplantae; Streptophyta; Magnoliopsida; Apiales; Apiaceae
Description: long non-coding RNA (DCAR_LNC001127)
Source: RNAcentral
UAUGUCUUUAUUUUAAUGUUUUUCAAAUUCACUCGUAUUUCUAUUAUUCGGUUUUGUCUUAUUUUCAAGAUGAUUGAAAGAUAUUUUAUGAAUUUAUUUUUAAGGUGUCUUCUGAGAAGACGGGAACCAUGAUAUACAAGACAAUUGAGUUACAAAUAUUGAUAGAAGGGAAUAAAGAAGACAUCAGUUUUUAGUCUGUUUUGUAAAAGAUGUAAUUUUGUAGGGCACUCUUUUUCCCUCUUGAGUUUUUUUCCCAAAAGGUUUUACUCUUGAGGGGUUUUAACGAGGCCUUUUUUUGUGGGUUAUCUCUUCUGACUUGUA